CGGUUGAUCCUGCCGGAGGCUAUUGCUAUCAGGGUUUGACUAAGCCAUGCGAGUCGAGAGGUGAAAGACCUCGGCAUACUGCUCAGUAACACGUGGAUAAUCUGCCCUCAGGUGAGGAAUAAUCCCGGGAAACUGGGGCUAAUGCCUCAUAGGAGACGGGUGCUGGAAUGCUCUGUCUCUGAAAGGUCCGCCGCNUGAGGAUGAGUCUGCGUCCGAUUAGGUUGUUGUUGGGGUAACGGCCCACCAAGCCAUUGAUCGGUACGGGUUGUGAGAGCAAGAGCCCGGAGAUGGAUUCUGAGACAUGAAUCCAGGCCCUACGGGGCGCAGCAGGCGCGAAAACUUUACAAUGCGAGCAAUCGUGAUAAGGAAACCCUGAGUGCCUGUCAAUGCAGGCUGUUCUGGUGUUUAGUCAGCACCAGGAGAAAGGGCGGGGCAAGACCGGUGCCAGCCGCCGCGGUAAUACCGGCUGCUCGAGUGAUAGCCACUUUUACUGGGCUUAAAGCGUUCGUAGCUUGGUCGUUAAGUCUCUGGGGAAAUCUUUUGGCUCAACCAAAAGACGUCUCAGAGAAACUGGCGACCUUGGGACCGGGAGAGGUAAGACGUACUUCGGGGGUAGGAGUGAAAUCUUGUAAUCCCCGAGGGACGACCGAUGGCGAAGGCAUCUUACCAGAACGGCUCCGACAGUGAGGGACGAAAGCUGGGGGAGCAAACCGGAUCAGAUACCCGGGUAGUCCCAGCCGUAAACGAUGUGCGUUAGGUGUGUCAGUGACCACGAGUCACUGAGGUGCCGAAGGGAAACCGUGAAACGCACCGCCUGGGAAGUACGGUCGCAAGGCUGAAACUUAAAGGAAUUGGCGGGGGAGCAC
RNAcentral lists this ribosomal RNA (866 nucleotides) under uncultured archaeon. RNAcentral describes it as "bacterial SSU rRNA". It matches the Rfam family "Archaeal small subunit ribosomal RNA", at positions 5 to 879 of the family's 1478-position model. The record is from RNAcentral.